GACGAACGCUGGCGGCGUGCUUAACACAUGCAAGUCGAACGGAGUACCCUCGAAAGAGAUUUCGGUCAAUGGAGAGGACUACUUAGUGGCGGACGGGUGAGUAACGCGUGAGGAACCUGCCUUUCAGAGGGGGACAACAGUUGGAAACGACUGCUAAUACCGCAUAACGUACGGGUAUCGCAUGGUACUGGUACCAAAGAUUUAUCGCUGAGAGAUGGCCUCGCGUCUGAUUAGCUAGUUGGUAGGGUAACGGCCUACCAAGGCGACGAUCAGUAGCCGGACUGAGAGGUUGGCCGGCCACAUUGGGACUGAGAUACGGCCCAGACUCCUACGGGAGGCAGCAGUGGGGAAUAUUGGGCAAUGGGCGCAAGCCUGACCCAGCAACGCCGCGUGAAGGAAGAAGGCUUUCGGGUUGUAAACUUCUUUUGACAGGGAAGAGCAGAAGACGGUACCUGUCGAAUAAGCCACGGCUAACUACGUGCCAGCAGCCGCGGUAAUACGUAGGUGGCAAGCGUUGUCCGGAUUUACUGGGUGUAAAGGGCGUGUAGCCGGGCUGACAAGUCAGAUGUGAAAUCCGGGGGCUCAACCCCCGAACUGCAUUUGAAACUGUUGGUCUUGAGUAUCGGAGAGGCAGGCGGAAUUCCUAGUGUAGCGGUGAAAUGCGUAGAUAUUAGGAGGAACACCAGUGGCGAAGGCGGCCUGCUGGACGACAACUGACGGUGAGGCGCGAAAGCGUGGGGAGCAAACAGGAUUAGAUACCCUGGUAGUCCACGCUGUAAACGAUGGAUACUAGGUGUGCGGGGACUGACCCCCUGCGUGCCGCAGCUAACGCAAUAAGUAUCCCACCUGGGGAGUACGAUCGCAAGGUUGAAACUCAAAGGAAUUGACGGGGGCCCGCACAAGCGGUGGAUUAUGUGGUUUAAUUCGAUGCAACGCGAAGAACCUUACCAGGGCUUGACAUCCUACUAACGAAGUAGAGAUACAUUAGGUACCCUUCGGGGGAAGUAGAGACAGGUGGUGCAUGGUUGUCGUCAGCUCGUGUCGUGAGAUGUUGGGUUAAGUCCCGCAACGAGCGCAACCCUUAUUGUUAGUUGCUACGCAAGAGCACUCUAGCGAGACUGCCGUUGACAAAACGGAGGAAGGUGGGGACGACGUCAAAUCAUCAUGCCCCUUAUGUCCUGGGCUACACACGUAAUACAAUGGCGGUCAACAGAGGGAUGCAAAACCGUGAGGUGGAGCGAACCCCUAAAAGCCGUCCCAGUUCAGAUCGCAGUCUGCAACCCGACUGCGUGAAGUCGGAAUCGCUAGUAAUCGCGGAUCAGCAUGCCGCGGUGAAUACGUUCCCGGGCCUUGUACACACCGCCCGUCACACCAUGAGAGUCGGGAACACCCGAAGUCCGUAGCCUAACCGCAAGGGGGGCGCGGCCGAAGGUGGGUUCGAUAAUUGGGGUGAAGUCGUAACAAGGUAGCCGUUCGAGAACGAGCGGCUGGAUCACCUCCUUUCUAAGGAGACAUCAAACAGACUGAGGUUUGUUUGUAACGUCCUAGGUCAGCUGGUGUAAAGGUUUAUUCGUUACAUUGUUUAAUUUAGAGGGCACUGGCUCUCGGAGAUAUGGGGAUAUAGCUCAGCUGGGAGAGCGCCUGCCUUGCAAGCAGGAGGUCGCCGGUUCGAUCCCGACUAUCUCCACCAAAGACGGGCUUGUAGCUCAGCUGGCUAGAGCGUACGACUGAUAAUCGUAAGGUCGGUGGUUCGAGCCCACUCAGGCCCACCAAUCUGAGUUAAGCUUAGAUAUAAGCUUUUAAGAGAUUAAAGGCUUAUAUCUGACCUUAAAGGUCAGGAGAUCGCACCUUGAAAACUGAACAAAGGAAGAAGAAUUUGAGAGUAAAGCAAGGCAACAGAGAGGUCUUUCAGAUGAAAGUCUGGAAGGUAGCAUGUUUAAUUGUGGAAUAACACCGAAAGGUGAAGGGUAAAAGCAAUUAGCCAAAGAAAACUUCUUUGUGAGGCCUGCAUAAUUCAACUAGAGAACUGAUCUAUCAAGAUCAUUCUAUGGUCAAGCUAUAAAGAGCGCAAGGGGAAUGCCUUGGCAUCAGGAGCCGAAGAAGGACGUGACAAGCUGCGAUAAGCCUCGGGGAGGAGCAAAUAUCCAUUGAUCCGGGGAUUUCCGAAUGGGGAAACCCACCAGAGCAAUACUCUGGUAGCGUGCGUUGAAUCAAAUAGGCGUACGUGGGGAACCGUCUGAACUGAAACAUCUAAGUAGGACGAGGAAGAGACAUCAACCGAGAUUCCGCUAGUAGUGGCGAGCGAACGCGGAAGAGGCCAAACCGGAGGAUUUAUUCUCCGGGGUUGCGGACCGGCAUAAGGGACAAUAGCUUAGGAGAACGGCAUGGGAAGGCCGGCCAUAGGGGGUGAGAGCCCCGUAUCCGAAAAGUGACGAUACCUGCUGAGUUCCAGAGUACCGCGGGACACGUGAAACCCCGUGGGAAACCGGGUGGACCACCAUCCAAGCCUAAAUACUACCUGAUGACCGAUAGAGGAGC
Molecule: unclassified non-coding RNA, 2538 nt
Filed under: uncultured Oscillospiraceae bacterium
Lineage: Bacteria; Bacillati; Bacillota; Clostridia; Eubacteriales; Oscillospiraceae
Description: partial contains 16S ribosomal RNA, 16S-23S ribosomal RNA intergenic spacer, and 23S ribosomal RNA
Rfam family: Bacterial small subunit ribosomal RNA (bases 1-1503)
Source: RNAcentral